RNAcentral lists this ribosomal RNA (1289 nucleotides) under uncultured bacterium. Its description in RNAcentral is "bacterial SSU rRNA". It matches the Rfam family "Bacterial small subunit ribosomal RNA", at positions 108 to 1391 of the family's 1533-position model. The record is from RNAcentral.
GAGUAACGCGUAAGAAUUUGCCUUUCAGUAAAGGAUACCUCCGAGAAAUCGGGGCUAAUACUGUAUAAGCUCAGCUUGCUGAGGAAAGAUGGCCUCUUGCUAUCGCUGAAAGAUAAGCUUGCGUCCUAUUAGCUUGUUGGUGGGGUAACUGCCUACCAAGGCUCAGAUGGGUAGCCGGCCUGAGAGGGUGUACGGCCACAUUGGGACUGAGAUACGGCCCAGACUCCUACGGGAGGCAGCAGUGGGGAAUAUUGCGCAAUGGGGGAAACCCUGACGCAGCGACGCCGCGUGGAGGAUGAAGGUUUUAGGAUCGUAAACUCCUGUUAAGUGGGAAGAAAGAUUGAUGCUUAAUACGUAUCAAGGAUGACGGUACCACUAAAGAAAGCACCGGCUAACUUCGUGCCAGCAGCCGCGGUAAUACGAAGGGUGCAAGCGUUAUUCGGAGUUACUGGGCGUAAAGAGCGUGCAGGCGGCUUGUUAAGUUAGUUGUCAAAGACCCUGGCUCAACCAGGGACCGGCAGUUAAAACUGGCAGGCUAGAGUUCAAGAGAGAGAAGUGGAAUUCUCGGAGUAGCGGUAAAAUGCGUAGAUCUCGAGAGGAACACCGGUUGCGAAGGCGGCUUCUUGGCUUGAUACUGACGCUGAGGCGCGAAAGCGUGGGGAGCAAACAGGAUUAGAUACCCUGGUAGUCCCACGCCGUAAACGAUGAUCACUGGAUGUUGGUUUUGCUUAGCAAAAUCAGUGUCGAAGCUAACGCGUUAAGUGAUCCGCCUGGGGAUUACGGUCGCAAGGCUAAAACUCAAAGAAAUUGACGGGGGUCCGCACAAGCGGUGGAACAUGUGGUUUAAUUCGACACUACGCGAGAAACCUUACCUAGACUUGACAUGUAAUCGCUAACAGCAGAGAUGUUGGGUUCCGUGGAAACAUGGACGGUUACACAGGUGCUGCAUGGCUGUCGUCAGCUCGUGUCGUGAGAUGUUGGGUUAAGUCCUUUAACGAGCGCAACCCUUGCCGCCAGUUGCUAUCCUUCGGGAGCACUCUGGUGGGACUGCCUUGGAAACGAGGAGGAAGGUGGGGAUGACGUCAAGUCCUCAUGGCCCUUAUGUCUAGGGCUACACACGUGUUACAAUGGCAAGUACAGCGGGGAGCUAAGCCGUAAGGUGGAGCUAAUCCUUUAAAGCUUGUCUAAGUUCGGAUUGAGGUCUGCAAUUCGACCUCAUGAAGUUGAAAUCGCUAGUAAUCGCGUAUCAGAACGACGCGGUGAAUACGUUCUCGGACCUUGUACACACC